UAAGUGAACGGUCACCAGACAGGGAAAGGC
RNAcentral lists this non-coding RNA (30 nucleotides) under Rattus norvegicus (Norway rat). Lineage: Eukaryota; Metazoa; Chordata; Mammalia; Rodentia; Muridae. The record is from RNAcentral.